AAAACCUUUUGCAUAUUCAAAUAGCGGAGGAAAAGAAACCAACCGGGAUUGCCUUAGUAACGGCGAGUGAAGCGGCAAAAGCUCAAAUUUGAAAUCUGGUACCUUCGGUGCCCGAGUUGUAAUUUGGAGAGGGCAACUUUGGGGCCGUUCCUUGUCUAUGUUCCUUGGAACAGGACGUCAUAGAGGGUGAGAAUCCCGUGUGGCGAGGAGUGCGGUUCUUUGUAAAGUGCCUUCGAAGAGUCGAGUUGUUUGGGAAUGCAGCUCUAAGUGGGUGGUAAAUUCCAUCUAAAGCUAAAUAUUGGCGAGAGACCGAUAGCGAACAAGUACAGUGAUGGAAAGAUGAAAAGAACUUUGAAAAGAGAGUGAAAAAGUACGUGAAAUUGUUGAAAGGGAAGGGCAUUUGAUCAGACAUGGUGUUUUGUGCCCUCUGCUCCUUGUGGGUAGGGGAAUCUCGCAUUUCACUGGGCCAGCAUCAGUUUUGGUGGCAGGAUAAAUCCAUAGGAAUGUAGCUUGCCUCGGUAAGUAUUAUAGCCUGUGGGAAUACUGCCAGCUGGGACUGAGGACUGCGACGUAAGUCAAGGAUGCUGGCAUAAUGGUUAUAUGCCGCCCGUCUUAAACCCCCGGACCAGG
Molecule: ribosomal RNA, 630 nt
Filed under: Saccharomyces cerevisiae (brewer's yeast)
Lineage: Eukaryota; Fungi; Ascomycota; Saccharomycetes; Saccharomycetales; Saccharomycetaceae
Description: LSU rRNA
Rfam family: Eukaryotic large subunit ribosomal RNA
Source: RNAcentral